GUUGGUGGCAAUAGCGAGGGGGAAACACCUUUUCCCAUUCCGAACAGAGCAGUUAAGCCCCUCAGCGCUGAUGGUACUAUCGAAAGGUGGGAGAGUAAGUCGCUGCCAACU
Molecule: ribosomal RNA, 111 nt
Filed under: Saprospiraceae bacterium
Lineage: Bacteria; Pseudomonadati; Bacteroidota; Saprospiria; Saprospirales; Saprospiraceae
Source: RNAcentral